Molecule: non-coding RNA, 145 nt
Filed under: Streptomyces bingchenggensis
Lineage: Bacteria; Bacillati; Actinomycetota; Actinomycetes; Kitasatosporales; Streptomycetaceae
Also listed under: 1 other name
Description: SAM-I sequence
Rfam family: SAM riboswitch aptamer (S box leader)
About the family: The SAM riboswitch is found upstream of a number of genes which code for proteins involved in methionine or cysteine biosynthesis in Gram-positive bacteria.
Source: RNAcentral
CGCUCAUCCAGAGGGGCAGAGGGAACGGCCCGUUGAAGCCCCGGCAACCCUCCAGCCAGUCCUGAUUCGUCACGCGAAGCGGGGCCCGGCUAGGGAAGGUGCCAAUUCCGGCUCGCGGCGAGAUGCGCCGUGAGGAAGAUGAGGA